RNAcentral lists this ribosomal RNA (619 nucleotides) under uncultured bacterium. Its description in RNAcentral is "bacterial SSU rRNA". It matches the Rfam family "Bacterial small subunit ribosomal RNA", at positions 338 to 951 of the family's 1533-position model. The record is from RNAcentral.
CCUACGGGAGGCAGCAGUGGGGAAUUUUGGACAAUGGGCGAAAGCCUGAUCCAGCAAUGCCGCGUGAGUGAAGAAGGCCUUCGGGUUGUAAAGCUCUUUUGUCAGGGAAGAAACGGUGAAAGCUAAUAUCUUUUGCUAAUGACGGUACCUGAAGAAUAAGCACCGGCUAACUACGUGCCAGCAGCCGCGGUAAUACGUAGGGUGCAAGCGUUAAUCGGAAUUACUGGGCGUAAAGCGUGCGCAGGCGGUUUUGUAAGUCUGAUGUGAAAUCCCCGGGCUCAACCUGGGAAUUGCAUUGGAGACUGCAAGGCUAGAAUCUGGCAGAGGGGGGUAGAAUUCCACGUGUAGCAGUGAAAUGCGUAGAUAUGUGGAGGAACACCGAUGGCGAAGGCAGCCCCCUGGGUCAAGAUUGACGCUCAUGCACGAAAGCGUGGGGAGCAAACAGGAUUAGAUACCCUGGUAGUCCACGCCCUAAACGAUGUCUACUAGUUGUCGGGUCUUAAUUGACUUGGUAACGCAGCUAACGCGUGAAGUAGACCGCCUGGGGAGUACGGUCGCGAAGAUUAAAACUCAAAGGAAUUGACGGCUGAGAGAGCGACGACGACGACGAGGGAGGAGG